This 18-nucleotide non-coding RNA is filed under the name Arabidopsis thaliana (thale cress). Lineage: Eukaryota; Viridiplantae; Streptophyta; Magnoliopsida; Brassicales; Brassicaceae. The record is from RNAcentral.
AUGAUUAACAGGGACAGU